GGAGAGGUGACCGAGUUGGUCUAAGGUGCUCGCCUGCUAAGCGAGUGUCCCGCCUAAUAGCGGGACCAAGGGUUCAAAUCCCUUCCUCUCCG
This 92-nucleotide transfer RNA is filed under the name Deltaproteobacteria bacterium. RNAcentral describes it as "tRNA-Ser". It matches the Rfam family "tRNA". From Rfam's summary of the family: Transfer RNA (tRNA) molecules are approximately 80 nucleotides in length. Their secondary structure includes four short double-helical elements and three loops (D, anti-codon, and T loops). The record is from RNAcentral. RNAcentral also lists the same sequence under 1 other name. Lineage: Bacteria; Pseudomonadati; Myxococcota; Myxococcia.